RNAcentral lists this non-coding RNA (45 nucleotides) under Schistosoma curassoni. Lineage: Eukaryota; Metazoa; Platyhelminthes; Trematoda; Strigeidida; Schistosomatidae. The record is from RNAcentral.
AUCCAGCUGAUGAGUCCCAAAAAGAACGAAACACAUGUCCUGGAU